UACGUAGGGUGCGAGCGUUGUCCGGAAUUAUUGGGCGUAAAGCGCACGUAGGCGGUUCGUUAAGUCGGAUGUGAAAGCCCUCGGCUCAACUGAGGAAGUGCACCCGAAACUGGCGAGCUUGAGUACGAAAGAGGAUCGCGGAAUUCCCGGUGUAGAGGUGAAAUUCGUAGAUAUCGGGAGGAACACCGGCGGCGAAGGCGGCGAUCUGGGUCGAUACUGACGCUGAGGUGCGAAAGCGUGGGGAGCAAACAGG
Molecule: ribosomal RNA, 253 nt
Filed under: uncultured bacterium
Lineage: Bacteria
Description: partial 16S ribosomal RNA
Rfam family: Bacterial small subunit ribosomal RNA
Source: RNAcentral